This 460-nucleotide ribosomal RNA is filed under the name uncultured bacterium. RNAcentral describes it as "partial 16S ribosomal RNA". It matches the Rfam family "Bacterial small subunit ribosomal RNA", at positions 338 to 795 of the family's 1533-position model. The record is from RNAcentral.
CCUACGGGAGGCAGCAGUGAGGAAUAUUGGUCAAUGGACGAGAGUCUGAACCAGCCAAGUAGCGUGAAGGAUGACUGCCCUAUGGGUUGUAAACUUCUUUUAUAAAGGAAUAAAACGAGGCACGUGUGCCUUUUUGCAUGUAAUUUAUGAAUAAGGAUCGGCUAACUCCGUGCCAGCAGCCGGGGUAAUAAGGAGGAUCCGAGCGUUAUCCGGAUUUAUUGGGUUUAAAGGGAUGUUAGAUGGGUUGUUAAGUCAGUUGUGAAAGGUUGCGGCUCAACCGUAAAAUUGCAAUUGAUACUGGCAGUCUUGAGUACAGUUGAGGUAGGCGGAAUGCGUGGUGUAGCGGUGAAAUGCUUAGAUAUCACGAAGAACCCCGAUUGCGAAGGCAGCUUACUAAACUGUGACUGACAUUGAUGCUCGAAAGUGUGGGUAUCAAACAGGAUUAGAUACCCGUGUAGUC